RNAcentral lists this ribosomal RNA (301 nucleotides) under uncultured bacterium. RNAcentral's name for it is "partial 16S ribosomal RNA". It matches the Rfam family "Bacterial small subunit ribosomal RNA", at positions 509 to 807 of the family's 1533-position model. The record is from RNAcentral.
CAGCCGCCGCGGGAAUACGUAGGGCGCAAGCGUUAUCCGGAAUUAUUGGGCGUAAAGAGCUCGUAGGCGGUUUGUCGCGUCUGCCGUGAAAGUCCGGGGCUCAACCCCGGAUCUGCGGUGGGUACGGGCAGACUAGAGUGAUGUAGGGGAGACUGGAAUUCCUGGUGUAGCGGUGAAAUGCGCAGAUAUCAGGAGGAACACCGAUGGCGAGGGCAGGUCUCUGGGCAUUAACUGACGCUGAGGAGCGAAAGCAUGGGGAGCGAACAGGAUUAGAUACCCCCGUAGUCCCUGUCUCUUAUAC